GGUGAGUAAUGUCUGGGAAACUGCCUGAUGGAGGGGGAUAACUACUGGAAACGGUAGCUAAUACCGCAUAACGUCGCAAGACCAAAGAGGGGGACCUUCGGGCCUCUUGCCAUCGGAUGUGCCCAGAUGGGAUUAGCUAGUAGGUGGGGUAACGGCUCACCUAGGCGACGAUCCCUAGCUGGUCUGAGAGGAUGACCAGCCACACUGGAACUGAGACACGGUCCAGACUCCUACGGGAGGCAGCAGUGGGGAAUAUUGCACAAUGGGCGCAAGCCUGAUGCAGCCAUGCCGCGUGUAUGAAGAAGGCCUUCGGGUUGUAAAGUACUUUCAGCGGGGAGGAAGGGAGUAAAGUUAAUACCUUUGCUCAUUGACGUUACCCGCAGAAGAAGCACCGGCUAACUCCGUGCCAGCAGCCGCGGUAAUACGGAGGGUGCAAGCGUUAAUCGGAAUUACUGGGCGUAAAGCGCACGCAGGCGGUUUGUUAAGUCAGAUGUGAAAUCCCCGGGCUCAACC
RNAcentral lists this ribosomal RNA (513 nucleotides) under Shigella flexneri. Its description in RNAcentral is "bacterial SSU rRNA". It matches the Rfam family "Bacterial small subunit ribosomal RNA", at positions 105 to 614 of the family's 1533-position model. The record is from RNAcentral. Lineage: Bacteria; Pseudomonadati; Pseudomonadota; Gammaproteobacteria; Enterobacterales; Enterobacteriaceae.